Molecule: ribosomal RNA, 253 nt
Filed under: uncultured bacterium
Lineage: Bacteria
Description: partial 16S ribosomal RNA
Rfam family: Bacterial small subunit ribosomal RNA
Source: RNAcentral
GACAGAGGGUGCAAACGUUGUUCGGAAUUACUGGGCGUAAAGCGCGUGUAGGCUGCUCCGAAAGUCGGAUGUGAAAGCCCUGGGCUCAACCUAGGAAGUGCAUUCGAAACUUCGGAGCUGGAGUUCUGGAGAGGAAGGCGGAAUUCUCGGUGUAGAGGUGAAAUUCGUAGAUAUCGAGAGGAACACCGGUGGCGAAGGCGGCCUUCUGGACAGUGACUGACGCUGAGACGCGAAAGCGUGGGGAGCAAACAGG